AUUGAACGCUGGCGGCAGGCCUAACACAUGCAAGUCGAGCGGAUGAAGGGAGCUUGCUCCUGGAUUCAGCGGCGGACGGGUGAGUAAUGCCUAGGAAUCUGCCUGGUCGUGGGGGAUAACGUCCGGAAACGGGCGCUAAUACCGCAUCCGUUCUGAGGGAGAAAGUGGGGGAUCUUCGGACCUCACGCUAUCUGAUGAGCCUAGGUCGGAUUAGCUAGUUGGUGGGGUAAAGGCCUACCAAGGCGACGAUCCGUAACUGGUCUGAGAGGAUGAUCAGCCACACUGGAACUGAGACACGGUCCAGACUCCUACGGGAGGCAGCAGUGGGGAAUAUUCGGCAAUGGGCGAAAGCCUGACGCAGCCAUGCCGCGUGUGUGAAGAAGGUCUUCGGAUUGUAAAGCUCUGUAAGUUGGGAGGAAGAGAAGUAAGUUUAUAUCUUGCUGUCUUGACGUUACCAAAACAAUAAGCACCGGCUAACUUCGUG
Molecule: ribosomal RNA, 484 nt
Filed under: uncultured bacterium
Lineage: Bacteria
Description: partial 16S ribosomal RNA
Rfam family: Bacterial small subunit ribosomal RNA
Source: RNAcentral